GAUGAACGCUGGCGGCGUGCCUAAUACAUGCAAGUCGAACGAAACUUCUUUAUCACCGAGUGCUUGCACUCACCGAUAAAGAGUUGAGUGGCGAACGGGUGAGUAACACGUGGGCAACCUGCCCAAAAGAGGGGGAUAACACUUGGAAACAGGUGCUAAUACCGCAUAACCAUAGUUACCGCAUGGUAACUAUGUAAAAGGUGGCUAUACUACCGCUUUUGGAUGGGCCCGCGGCGCAUUAGCUAGUUGGUAGGGUAAAGGCUUACCAAGGCAAUGAUGCGUAGCCGAAUUGAGAGGUUGAUCGGCCACAUUGGGACUGAGACACGGCCCAGACUCCUACGGGAGGCAGCAGUAGGGAAUCUUCCACAAUGGGCGAAAGCCUGAUGGAGCAACGCCGCGUGGGUGAAGAAGGUCUUCGGAUCGUAAAACCCUGUUGUUAGAGAAGAAAGUGCGUGAGAGUAACUGUUCACGUUUCGACGGUAUCUAACCAGAAAGCCACGGCUAACUACGUG
Molecule: ribosomal RNA, 512 nt
Filed under: uncultured bacterium
Lineage: Bacteria
Description: partial 16S ribosomal RNA
Rfam family: Bacterial small subunit ribosomal RNA
Source: RNAcentral